AUUGAACGCUGGCGGCAUGCCUUACACAUGCAAGUCGAACGGUAACAGGUCUUCGGAUGCUGACGAGUGGCGAACGGGUGAGUAAUACAUCGGAACGUGCCCAGACGUGGGGGAUAACGAGGCGAAAGCUUUGCUAAUACCGCAUACGAUCUAAGGAUGAAAGCAGGGGACCGCAAGGCCUUGCGCGGUUGGAGCGGCCGAGGGCAGAUUGGGUAGAUGGUGGGAUAACAGCUUACCAAGCCGACGAUCUGUAGCGGGUCUGAGAGGACGACCAGCCACACUGGGCCUGAGCCACGGCCCAGACUCCUACGGGAGGCAGCAGUGGGGAAUUUUGGACAAUGGGCGAAAGCCUGAUCCAGCAAUGCCGCGUGCAGGAUGAAGGCCUUCGGGUUGUAAACUGCUUUUGUACGGAACGAAAAGGCUCUGGCUAAUACCUGGGGCACAUGACGGUACCGUAAGAAUAAGCACCGGCUAACUACGU
This 481-nucleotide ribosomal RNA is filed under the name uncultured bacterium. RNAcentral's name for it is "partial 16S ribosomal RNA". It matches the Rfam family "Bacterial small subunit ribosomal RNA", at positions 30 to 506 of the family's 1533-position model. The record is from RNAcentral.